This 721-nucleotide ribosomal RNA is filed under the name uncultured archaeon. RNAcentral's name for it is "bacterial SSU rRNA". It matches the Rfam family "Archaeal small subunit ribosomal RNA", at positions 65 to 791 of the family's 1478-position model. The record is from RNAcentral.
GGUUCGGCCCUCGGCUGACUGCUCAGUAACACGUGGAUAAUUUGCCCUAAGGUGGAGGAUAACCUCGGGAAACUGAGAAUAAUACUCCAUAGGUCUAAGAUACUGGAAUGUUCUUAGGCUGAAAACUCCGGUGCCUUAGGAUAAGUCUGCGGACUAUCAGGUUGUAGUCAGGGUAAAGACCUGACUAGCCUAUGACGGAUAUGAGUUGUGGGAGCAAUAACCCAGAGAUGAUAUCUGAGACACGAUAUCAGGCCCUACGGGGCGCAGCAGGCGCGAAAACUUCACACUGCGCGAAAGCGCGAUGAGGGAAUCCCAAGUGUAUGCACGUAAGUGUAUACUGUUUCUUUGUUUAAAAAGCAUAGAGAGUAAGGGCUGGGUAAGACGGGUGCCAGCCGCCGCGGUAAUACCUGCAGCUCAAGUGGUGAUCGUUAUUAUUGGGCCUAAAACGUCCGUAGCCGGUUUAGUAAAUGCCUGGGUAAAUCGUGCCGCUCAACGGUACGACUUCCGGGUAGACUGCUAAACUUGGGACCGGGAGAGGCUAGAGGUACUCCUGGGGUAGAGGUGAAAUUCUGUAAUCCUAGGGGGACCACCAGUGGCGAAGGCGUCUAGCUAGAACGGGUCUGACGGUGAGGGACGAAGCCCUGAGGCGCGAACCGGAUUAGAUACCCGGGUAGUCCAGGGUGUAAACGCUGCUUGCUUGAUGUUAGUCGGGCUCCCAGCC